ACAUUUUUAUACUACUUCUUUAUAUAUAAAGAAGGGUUUGAAUCCCUCCUAGGAUGUCCACAUGGGAUGACAGGUCAGAAAAUCGCUUCAUGUGGUGUUGACACCUGUCCCUCUCACCAAAACGCACCAUAUCAUUUUCUCUUGUGUCUGAUGGGCUUCGAUUGUGGGCUUUCAAUGCAAUGCGUGAAAGUGUAUGUGCGGGACAAAAGGAUCCCGUCUUCUUCCCGAUGAAAUGGCUAUUACUAAAUCUAGGUUUGAUCUUCAUCAUCUCAGCUUCUUCAAUCUCAGACGAGCCGGCAAUGGAGUUUCAGGACGUUGUGGGAGACGAAUAUUCUGGAGGAAUCUCUUGCUCGAGAUUUCUUCGUGUCGGUUCUUCUCCUCCGAAACGUUACGAGAUGCAAUGAUUCGUCGCCGUCAACAACCAUCUUUAUUUCUUCCACUCACAAUCAUGAUGAUUUAACCAUUUAAUGCUUCUUAUCUCUCUUCCAGAUUGCGGAUCUCAACCUAUAAAAAGGCUUGCUGCUGUUCUUCAACUGUCAAGGUCUCUGAUUUUGGGAAGCUAGCGCGGUGGAGAGCUGACGGUGUGGACGUGCUCCUGCUAAGGUGAUUCUGUUCUUAAACUUCAUGCUCAUCUUAGUUUAAAAUUAACGCAGGCGUUUAUACUCAUAACAGACAGACUUUUGUUUCCACAUCUUUAACGAGCCUAUUAGAGAUAUAAUUACGAAUCCGUUUGUCGAUUACGUUUCUUUUCUUAUAUGUGUUUGAUCAUCUUAGUUUAAAACUAAAGUUGUCGUCUAGGAGGAGCAUGAUCUUCGUGGUUUAAAAACAGCGUUCAAUCUCAGAAUUUUUUAUCGAAAUUUUAUUUUCACUCUUUGGGAGAUAAUUUAGUCCCAUAUAUGUUCAGACUUCUCUCUCAAAUUGCUUGAACUUAUGAUCAUGAGAGCUUAGGUUUGUUGUUCGCUGCCAUUCAUGUGGUACAGUUGGUUGUUCAGUCAUGGAGAGUUAAUAGCAACUGUUUAUGGCAGAGAAUCUCACACAGAUGGAGAUACAUAACGGCGCAUCCACCUCUUUCUGGUUUGAUGUAUGGGAUGUAUGGUACCCAUUAGGAAAAUUAAUCAACUUAACGGGAUUAAGAGGAUGUAUCGAUCUUGGGCUACACAUACAAGUGACUGGAAUAUGCAGUGCAGUCUUAUCGCUGCAGAAGAAACAAAGGAGAGCAUCUAAUUAUGAUUGAAAAGGAGCUAAUGACACUGAGACAGAGAGCGCUCUCUCUGCAACCGGAUGUGAGACUAUGGAAAGGUGCAGAUUUCAACACAAAAUAGACUUCGCUGCAGAUUAGAUCGCAGGGUCACGUCUAGACUGGACAAGGUGUAUGCUAGAUGGUUCAAGGAACAAGACUGUCCUUUUCCUCAUUACCAAAUCUUUUUCGGUCUCACUUGCUCUUCUUCUUCUCCUACGAUUAGCUGUGCUUCCGUUUCAACUUCCUCUCUUUAGAUUCUCUCCAUACGUAUGCUGAUUGAGCUUUCUAAUCUUCACAGCAUUUUUUUAACUGCGUAUGUGAAAUCCUUGCGGUUUUUAAGUCAAUGAAAAGAUCAUCUUGAUGCUCUGUUAUACUUUAAUGUUUAUAUUUAAUUUUUGCUGCAUUAUAUGAAACAUAUUACACGAUAAAUCCCUUAGAUAGAUCUAUCGAAGAGACUUUAUA
Brassica napus (rape) is the source of this 1702-nucleotide long non-coding RNA. RefSeq lists it as uncharacterized. Lineage: Eukaryota; Viridiplantae; Streptophyta; Magnoliopsida; Brassicales; Brassicaceae. The record is from RefSeq and is a predicted model, not a curated record. The transcript is spliced from 2 exons.